This 267-nucleotide ribosomal RNA is filed under the name Enterococcus faecium. RNAcentral's name for it is "partial 23S ribosomal RNA". It matches the Rfam family "Bacterial large subunit ribosomal RNA", at positions 2102 to 2368 of the family's 2925-position model. Lineage: Bacteria; Bacillati; Bacillota; Bacilli; Lactobacillales; Enterococcaceae. The record is from RNAcentral.
UACUGUAGUUUGAUAUUGAGGGUCUGUACCGCAUGUACAGGAUAGGUAGGAGCCGUAGAAAUCGGAACGCUAGUUUCGAUGGAGGCGCGGGUGGGAUACUACCCCUGCGUUAUGGCCACUCUAACCCGCACCACUAAUCGUGGUGGGAGACAGUGGCAGAUGGGCAGUUUGACUGGGGCGGUCGCCUCCUAAAAGGGAACGGAGGCGCCCAAAGGUUCCCUCAGAAUGGUUGGAAAUCAUUCGAAGAGUGUAAAGGCAGAAGGGAGC